CAGCUCUUCGUUCAUUUUGCAGCGGCAUCUGGUCUGGAAAGACCAGGACGAGUAUGCAGUGCAUUGACUGGGAUGUUGUCAUGGAGACUACUGGAAUGAGGUCUAGGCCUGUUAACUUCAAGGAUGCUUAAAUGAACCGGCCUGCACCUGGUGCCAGUUGACUUAUUUUUAUGGUGGAACCACUUGUCCUGACCAAGUGGUCAAAAUGGACUUCUCGUGUGUGUGUGUGUGUACUGCAAGCACAAGUCAACCUAGACCAGAACUAAAGAGCCUGGGUUGUGUAGAGGAACAUUGUGCUGUUAUUAAAAAUGGAAUGGGUUGAAUCCUCAAACAGGUGGCACACAUGAAGUUGGCUGAACGAAUGAAAGUACUGGAAUCUUCCCCUGGAAGUUCUGCACCUUCUUGAAUAUGGCAAAGUUGGUUUGCCAUGACUGGGAGCAAUGUACUGUUCUGGAUUUCCCUAGAGGUUGACUUGCUAGAUGCUGGUGUAUCUUACAGAAAAGGUUGCUGAACUUUGUACUGUUCUUCCAGUUUCCUAGAGGUUGACUUGCUAGAUGCUGGUAUCUUUUACAGAAAAGGUUGUUACAUUUAACUUGAAGUUCAGUCCUUACCUCCUGUACAGCCAACAAUUGAGCUACACUGUACAAAACUACUCUAACAGCAUUAAACCAUGUAAAAUGGCUAAGAUUCAUGGACUUUGUCAUUGCUACUGUAAGCACUUGUAAGACUAAAGCUGCCUGGCUAAAUUCAUAAAAUCUGCCUCUUCUUGGCCUGUAUUUUAACCAGUUUAUUCUAAGGACACAGAUGGCAUUUUGUUUUCAAUAACUGAAGUUUACAUUCAGCACAUGUUUUAGUAUUUAUUGUUCAACUAAUACGCCAUUGAGAAUCCAUAGUUUACAGAUUUCAUGAUGUAAACUAUGAUUUCACCCUUUUAUUAGACGAUAUGCACAUCUAACCUGCCCUUCAAUAAAGUGAACCAUAUAAAUGUG
Long non-coding RNA from Myxocyprinus asiaticus (Chinese sucker), 989 nucleotides. RefSeq lists it as uncharacterized. The transcript has 11 exons. Lineage: Eukaryota; Metazoa; Chordata; Actinopteri; Cypriniformes; Catostomidae. The record is from RefSeq and is a predicted model, not a curated record.